RNA transcript from Hippocampus comes (tiger tail seahorse), 2355 nucleotides. It is a transcript of the gene named serine and arginine rich splicing factor 2a, with no coding region annotated. The transcript has 3 exons. The record is from RefSeq and is a predicted model, not a curated record. NCBI's taxonomy places the organism in Eukaryota, Metazoa, Chordata, Actinopteri, Syngnathiformes, Syngnathidae.
CCAUUUCGUGUAUUGGUAAGACACGGCUCAAGUGGUCCACACGCUCGAGUAUUUCUAAACUCGGCUUUGAAUCGUGCCAAGAUUUCAAAACCAGCGGCGUCUUGUUAUUUUACAGCAAGGAAGUCCCAAGAAUAUUUUUGUUCGUGGCCCCAAGGUUGGUUACGCCGAGAAAAUGAACUACGGAAGGCCGCCGCCAGACGUGGAGGGGAUGACCUCCCUUAAAGUGGACAACCUGACUUACCGGACCUCGCCGGAGACGCUGCGCCGCGUAUUUGAGAAGUACGGUCGCGUGGGGGACGUGUACAUCCCGCGGGACCGGUACACCAAGGAGAGCCGCGGCUUCGCCUUCGUGCGCUUCUUGGACAAGCGCGACGCCGAGGACGCCAUGGAUGCUAUGGACGGAGCGCUGCUCGACGGACGGGAGCUGCGCGUGCAGAUGGCCCGCUACGGUCGGCCGCCUGACUCCAUGUACAGCCGGAGAGGACCUCAACAGCGACGACGUUCAGCGAGCCCCCGUCGUCGCAGACGCAGCCGUUCCAGGAGCAGGAGCCGCUCCCGAUCCAGGAGUCGCCGUCGCUACUCCCGAUCCAGGUCCCGCUCCUACUCCCGAUCCAGGUCCCGCUCAAAGUCCAAAUCCAAGUCCCGAACCCCACGGCGGAGCAAGUCCAAGUCCCCCUCUCGGUCCCGGUCCAGAUCAAGGAGCCGGAGCCCUGCCUCUAAUCACGGGUCCAGAUCCAGGUCCAAGUCCAAGAGCCGGCCCAAGUCUCCAGAGGACAACGGAACAGAGCCAUAGCUCAAAGUUGGACGCAACAUGACGGUAUUUAGUGGGAUGGGUGGAAUAUCAUGAAUACAUGUUAAAUGUUUAGUAUUCUGCUUUCUUGAGGUUGCUCUUUUAAAUUUUGCACAAGCAACAAAGUCAGCAGAACCAUCUCUAUUUUAGUACUGCAAUAACCAAGAAUAAUUUGGCUCUCAAGCAUGCGUGUUGUGACGAUAAACAAUUUCAAACACGCACAAUAGAGGGUUUGAAUUGGGCUAAUGUGAGUAUAUAUGGGUGUGCUUCACUCCAUAUGUUCACUUAAUGUGAAAUUCUUUCCUCCAAGCUGCUGAAUCCUGUUUGCAAAGAGAGGAGGAGGAGAUGGGGGUGUGGCAGUGUGAGAGCAGUUAUAGUGUGUGAGCCGCCCAGGUCAGCUGCCCGUUGCUGGGGGGGUGACGGCGGUUGCUCGGGAGCAGGUCACCCAGGCAACGCUUGGUUGCUCAGGAGCAGGUCGUCAUGGCGGUGGUGCUGGGCUGUCAGUUGGUGUUUGAGGCGGUGUGGUGAGGUACGUUCACGGGGAUUGCGGGCGGACCCCCACCCGCCGCCUGCGCUUUGCCCUCCCGCCUCUCAACCCAAAGAUCUCUCGGGCGAUUGCUUCUUUUUGCCGAGGACAUCAGGACGAGUCUCACCAUGUUCAAGAGACUCCACUAUUGCCACUGAAAGCAGACUGAAAGGUUAUUUGGAACUUGGUCUAAACAUUUUCUAAAUAGCUAGUUUUGCUUGUGCUACCGAAAUAAACGUCAUGUUGGUCGUUCACAAAGUUGGGCAUCUUCAAGUAAAUAUGUGAUUUUGUUUGUUUUUUGUUUCGUUUGAUUCCCCUUUUAAGUGACUUUAUUUUUGAAUUUGUACUCUUAAAUAAAACUAUUGAUUUAUUUUGAUUCAUGGAAGACCUUGUUAUACUCUUUGUCUUGGCAGGAGGUUGUCAAUUACAAAUAUCGGUUUGUUACCCCACUCAAUUGGACAAACAUGCUGUAUGUUAAUCAGCCUGGGUUCAUUCGUCUUUGACGUUUUUUUUCUGUCAGCUCUUUCUGUCUGGUUAAAUUGCUUCCUAUGACUCUAACCCUCUUUCUUGUGUAUCUUUUGUGCACUAGGCGCAGUUGUGUAGCAGUUGAGUAAUGCUGGUUAGCUGUUAAGAUGCGGUGCAGUGCAGUGGUGACAUGGUGUGGCGUGUUGCGGUGCUGAGUGCCCGGUCACUGUUCCGGGGCGCUCGACCCUCCGCUGCUGUUUGCCGGUUUGUAAGCUCACAGGUGUUGCAGAUCAUCCACCCCCCUCUUGUCCCUAUGCCCUCUUUGAUGUCCCUUCUGUGUGCUCUAAAGCUCUUUGUCCAUCCUUUCUUUCCUCCUCCUAUGUCUGGUUCAUCACUUGCUUUUUUUUUUUUUGUGGGGGAAGUGGGUCCAGUGUGGCUCACAUUGCAGGGUUGAUGAUGAAAAACCAGGGGGCCGCAGCUCUGGCUGCCUCGUUUAUUUGUGCCAGCAUUCCCCGUUGACCUCUCUGUUCUCUUACAUUUUCUUCAGGUGAAUAAAUGUAUUUGUUGAAAGUGG